UUUCUAUUGCUGAAAGGACAAUAAUGCAUCAGUAAAUGGAAUAAAGAAAAAUGUAUCAAUUGGAAUCAACUAUGUCGUCAAAUGUCCAUGCAGUUAUCUGGUUUCUCUUGCCCACAUGUGACAUCAUGAAAAGGGUUUUUAUGACAGAUGACGUUAUAACAGGAAAGUCAAUGCGGAGAAGCAGAGAUAGAUCACAUGUUAAAAAGGAGUUUUUUUAUGUAAUAACUUGACCAGCUUACUUAAAAACUGCGAGUAAAAGGCCUAGACAUAAAAAAAAAAGCCUAACGCCGUUACCUAUGAUGAGAAGACCAAUCCUUGACCGAAAUAUUACACAGUCUAGG
Mytilus californianus (California mussel) is the source of this 341-nucleotide long non-coding RNA. RefSeq lists it as uncharacterized. Lineage: Eukaryota; Metazoa; Mollusca; Bivalvia; Mytilida; Mytilidae. The record is from RefSeq and is a predicted model, not a curated record. The transcript is spliced from 3 exons.